Molecule: ribosomal RNA, 490 nt
Filed under: uncultured bacterium
Lineage: Bacteria
Description: partial 16S ribosomal RNA
Source: RNAcentral
GUAGUUUGCCGGAGCUUCCUCGAUAGGUACCGUCAUUAUCGUUCCUAUCAACAGAAGUUUACAACCCGAAGGCCUUCUUCCUUCACGCGGCGUUGCUGGGUCAGGGUUUCCCCCAUUGCCCAAUAUUCCUCCCUGCUGCCUCCCGUAGGAGUCUGGACCGUUUCUCAGUUCCAGUGUGUCCGUUCAGCCUCUCAGCCCGGAUACCUAUCUCAGUCUUGGUGAGCCGUUACCUCACCAACUAACUAAUAGGACGCGAACUCCUCUCAUACCGGAUUGCUCCUUUGACCCCUUUGCCAUGUGGCCUUGUGGUCUUAUGCGGUAUUAGCACAAGUUUCCCUGUGUUAUCCCCCUGUAUGAGGCAGAUUGUUCACGCGUUACUCACCCGUCCGCUACUUAAUGUUUCAACGACCGAAGUCAUUUCCGCACACGUUCAACUUGCAUGGGUUAGGCACGCCGCCAGCGUUCGUCCUGAGCCAUAAUCAAACUCUGA